CCCUUAGAUGUUCUGGGCCGCACGCGUGCUACACUGAGUGGAUCAGCGGGUCAGGUUGCGCGAAAGUGUUUCCUAAUCUUGAAAUCCGCUCGUGAUGGGGAUUGACGGUUGCAAUUUUCCGUCAUGAACGAGGAAUACCUUGUAAGCGCGGGUCAUCAUCCCGCGCUGAAUACGUCCCUGCCCUUUGUACACGCCGCCCGUCGCUCCUACCGAUUGAGUGGUCCGGUGAGGCUUUGGGAUCUGAGCGGAAAGAGCGUUUCGCUGUUUCUGCUCGGAAAACUCAGUCGAACCUUAUCAUUUAGAGGAAGGAGAAGUCGUAACA
This 322-nucleotide ribosomal RNA is filed under the name uncultured eukaryote. RNAcentral's name for it is "partial 18S ribosomal RNA". It matches the Rfam family "Eukaryotic small subunit ribosomal RNA", at positions 1470 to 1796 of the family's 1831-position model. The record is from RNAcentral.